This 1785-nucleotide ribosomal RNA is filed under the name Triticum aestivum (bread wheat). Its description in RNAcentral is "partial small subunit ribosomal RNA". Lineage: Eukaryota; Viridiplantae; Streptophyta; Magnoliopsida; Poales; Poaceae. The record is from RNAcentral.
GAUCCGUUUCUAGUUGACCCAUAUGACAUGGAUCAAUAUAAUAAGAUGGUAAGCACUCUAGACACUAGCAAGAAAAAGACUCCUGAUGAAGAGGCUUUGUAUGUGGACGACUUGAAGGCAUUGUCAGAAGCAGUAUCCAAAAUAGACAUCACGUACCAUCAUUUGCUUUUGAACAAUAUGUUUACCAUCCGCAUCUGGUACUUGCAAAGAGAUACAUUGGAUGCUUUCUUAGACCUAAUAACCAGAUUGGCUGCAGUGGCAGAUCAGUAUCUCAGAGAAUGUUUGCAGAUGCUUGUGAACAACUUUACUCCGCCUCUUGUUCAACGCAAUGAGCUGCCUAGAUGGGCGGUUUCAAGGAAGAAGGAUAUUUUUUUUCAUCUGUGUGAGAGUUUGAAAACAAUCUCCGAUACUGUACCCUUAGCACCAAGGAUAUUAAGGGAUAUAAUAGAUCGGAGUAUGCCGAAGUUAUUUGAUAACAAAGCUAAGAUGGUCUCGUUUGUCGAAUGCAUGUUGGGGCUAGAUACUGACAGAAUGGGGGACCUUAUUGGGGCUACAUUGCUGGCGAAAGUUGUGGAUCUACUUACGGAGUUGGAUGUUAAUAUAACCUGGGAAGAUAUUAUUCAAGGGGAGCAUAACAAAGGUAUAUUUGAAAUGGAGCUUGAAGAUUUGGAUGAGGAUGAGGAUGGCCUUGGACAAGCGGGAACAAAGGUCCUUUUUGGAGGAAAUGCAUGUGCCGAAAAGCUUGACAGUUUAAUGGUUGUUGUAUGCGAGCACCUUAAGUCAUGUGCGGAGCGUGGGUACCUCGAUAAGGAAUUUGACAUUCUGAAGACUAUAUUUCGAGCAUCUGUGCUGAGGGUGCACAGAUCAAAAUUUUGCCAGUUUAUCAUGUUCUAUGCCUGCUCACUGGAUCCCAAAAUCUGCGGUCUUGGAUUUGCUUUUUUUCUUACCGACAUUUUUUUGAACAAGGAAGAGGAUCCAAUUUCAAGAAUGUCUGCAGUUUCGUAUGUUGGAAGCUAUUUGUCUCGGGCAAGGUUUAUUUCCGCUGAUACGGUUCUUGGCAUACUCAAAAAAUUAGUGGAUUGGUGCGAUGAAUAUUGUGUCCUUCAGAACAGAGGGACCACAGCCAAUCCGAAUCAUCAAAUAUUUUACGCGACCUGUCAGGCUGUGAUGUAUGUCCUUUGCUUUCGCUUGAGAUCUAUUAUGGAUUAUCCGAAUCUUAAAGCACAGCUUUUUCAAUUGUCUUUUGGAUUUAUCUUGAACCACCGACUGGAACCUCUAAAGGUGUGCUUGCCUUCAAUAGUAAACGAGUUCCUGAGACAGGCCAAGGAUGCCGGAUUAUUCGCUGCAUCCAUGUAUUCAGCAGCUGAAGAUGCAAUCGAAUCUGAUUUGUCCAGGGCUUUUGGAGGAAUCAACAGACUUGACACCUUCUUCCCAUUUGAUCCUUACCUGCUAAAAGAAUCAGACAGAUACAUCCGUCCAAAUUUCGAGUUCUGGUCCAUGGUCAAGACGACAUACAACAACGACAAGGACGAUGACGACGAUGAGCUGCUGGACCUUGAUGCCCCUGAAAUGAACGUGGGCAGCUUGGACGAUCAUGUCGAAAUAGAUAUCAACAGCGACGACGACGAGCUGGAGUACUCGAUGAACAAGAUGUCUAUAACCCCGCACCGCUCCUCCUACCACGGGAUGGCCGCGGACGGUGGCGAUGCUGGCCUCAGCAUGCCCGCGAGGAUCAGACCUUCGGCGAGCCCCCCGUCACGGUGGGCCAUGUCAGGCUCACCGUAG